Molecule: ribosomal RNA, 512 nt
Filed under: uncultured bacterium
Lineage: Bacteria
Description: bacterial SSU rRNA
Rfam family: Bacterial small subunit ribosomal RNA
Source: RNAcentral
GAUGAACGCUAGCGACAGGCCUAACACAUGCAAGUCGAGGGGCAGCACGGUGUAGCAAUACACGGGUGGCGACCGGCGCACGGGUGAGUAACGCGUAUGCAACCUGCCUACUACAAGGGGAUGACCCGUUGAAAGACGGACUAAUACCCUAUAACACAGGGAAUCCGCAUGGAUAUAUUUGUUAAAGAUUUAUCGGUAGUAGAUGGGCAUGCGUUCCAUUAGCUUGUUGGUGAGGUAACGGCUCACCAAGGCAACGAUGGAUAGGGGAACUGAGAGGUUGAUCCCCCACACUGGAACUGAGACACGGUCCAGACUCCUACGGGAGGCAGCAGUGAGGAAUAUUGGUCAAUGGACGAGAGUCUGAACCAGCCAAGUCGCGUGAAGGAAGACGGCCCUACGGGUUGUAAACUUCUUUUGUAAGGGAAUAAAUAGUCUUACGCGCUAAGACGUUGCAGGUACCUUACGAAUAAGGAUCGGCUAACUCCGUGCCAGCAGCCGCGGUAAAAGUCACG